GGUUGACCUCGGAUCAGGUAGGGAUACCCGCUGAACU
This 37-nucleotide ribosomal RNA is filed under the name Aureobasidium melanogenum. RNAcentral's name for it is "partial 28S ribosomal RNA". RNAcentral also lists the same sequence under 10 other names. Lineage: Eukaryota; Fungi; Ascomycota; Dothideomycetes; Dothideales; Saccotheciaceae. The record is from RNAcentral.